GAUGAACGCUGACAGAAUGCUUAACACAUCAGCAAUUGAUUGGUGGCGGACGGGUGAGUAACGCGUAAAGAACUUGCCUCACAGGUAGGGACAACAUUUGGUAACGAAUGCUAAUACCUAAUACUGUGAGAGAGCUUUGCGUCCCAUUAGCUAGUUGGAUAGGUAACGAAUCACCAAGGCGAUGAUGGGUAGCCGACCUGAGAGGGUGAUCGGCCACGAGGGGACUGAGACACGGCACUUACUCCUACGGGAGGCAGCAGUGGGGAAUAAUGGACAAUGGACCAAAGUCAGAUCCAGCAAUUCUGUGUGCACGAUGAAGUUUUAGGAAUGUAAAGUGCUUUCAUUUGGGAAGCGGUACCAACAGAAGAAGUGACGGCUGAAUACAUGCCAGCAGCCGCGGUAGUUC
Molecule: ribosomal RNA, 406 nt
Filed under: uncultured bacterium
Lineage: Bacteria
Description: partial 16S ribosomal RNA
Rfam family: Bacterial small subunit ribosomal RNA
Source: RNAcentral